UGGGUAGGGGAGCGUUCUGUAAGCCUGUGAAGGUGGCCUGUGAGGGUUGCUGGAGGUAUCAGAAGUGCGAAUGCUGACAUAAGUAACGAUAAAGCGGGUGAAAAGCCCGCUCGCCGGAAGACCAAGGGUUCCUGUCCAACGUUAAUCGGGGCAGGGUGAGUCGACCCCUAAGGCGAGGCCGAAAGGCGUAGUCGAUGGGAAACGGGUUAAUAUUCCCGUACUUGGUGUUACUGCGAAGGGGGGACGGAGAAGGCUAUGUUGGCCGGGCGACGGUUGUCCCGGUUUAAGCGUGUAGGUGUGUGUUCCAGGUAAAUCCGGUUCACUUUAACACUGAGGCGUGACGACGAGGCACUACGGUGCUGAAGCAACAAAUGCCCUGCUUCCAGGAAAAGCCUCUAAGCAUCAGGUAACAUCAAAUCGUACCCCAAACCGACACAGGUGGUCAGGUAGAGAAUACCAAGGCGCUUGAGAGAACUCGGGUGAAGGAACUAGGCAAAAUGGUGCCGUAACUUCGGGAGAAGGCACGCUGACACGUAGGUGAAGUGAUUUACUCAUGGAGCUGAAGUCAGUCGAAGAUACCAGCUGGCUGCAACUGUUUAUUAAAAACACAGCACUGUGCAAACACGAAAGUGGACGUAUACGGUGUGACGCCUGCCCGGUGCCGGAAGGUUAAUUGAUGGGGUCAGCGCAAGCGAAGCUCCUGAUCGAAGCCCCGGUAAACGGCGGCCGUAACUAUAACGGUCCUAAGGUAGCGAAAUUCCUUGUCGGGUAAGUUCCGACCUGCACGAAUGGCGUAAUGAUGGCCAGGCUGUCUCCACCCGAGACUCAGUGAAAUUGAACUCGCUGUGAAGAUGCAGUGUACCCGCGGCAAGACGGAAAGACCCCGUGAACCUUUACUAUAGCUUGACACUGAACAUUGAGCCUUGAUGUGUAGGAUAGGUGGGAGGCUUUGAAGCGUGGACGCCAGUCUGCGUGGAGCCGACCUUGAAAUACCACCCUUUAAUGUUUGAUGUUCUAACGUGGACCCGUAAUCCGGGUUGCGGACAGUGUCUGGUGGGUAGUUUGACUGGGGCGGUCUCCUCCUAAAGAGUAACGGAGGAGCACGAAGGUUGGCUAAUCCUGGUCGGACAUCAGGAGGUUAGUGCAAUGGCAUAAGCCAGCUUGACUGCGAGCGUGACGGCGCGAGCAGGUGCGAAAGCAGGUCAUAGUGAUCCGGUGGUUCUGAAUGGAAGGGCCAUCGCUCAACGGAUAAAAGGUACUCCGGGGAUAACAGGCUGAUACCGCCCAAGAGUUCAUAUCGACGGCGGUGUUUGGCACCUCGAUGUCGGCUCAUCACAUCCUGGGGCUGAAGUAGGUCCCAAGGGUAUGGCUGUUCGCCAUUUAAAGUGGUACGCGAGCUGGGUUUAGAACGUCGUGAGACAGUUCGGUCCCUAUCUGCCGUGGGCGCUGGAGAACUGAGGGGGGCUGCUCCUAGUACGAGAGGACCGGAGUGGACGCAUCACUGGUGUUCGGGUUGUCAUGCCAAUGGCACUGCCCGGUAGCUAAAUGCGGAAGAGAUAAGUGCUGAAAGCAUCUAAGCACGAAACUUGCCCCGAGAUGAGUUCU
This 1605-nucleotide ribosomal RNA is filed under the name Salmonella enterica. Its description in RNAcentral is "bacterial LSU rRNA". It matches the Rfam family "Bacterial large subunit ribosomal RNA", at positions 1225 to 2812 of the family's 2925-position model. Lineage: Bacteria; Pseudomonadati; Pseudomonadota; Gammaproteobacteria; Enterobacterales; Enterobacteriaceae. RNAcentral also lists the same sequence under 2 other names. The record is from RNAcentral.